This 240-nucleotide ribosomal RNA is filed under the name uncultured bacterium. RNAcentral's name for it is "partial 16S ribosomal RNA". It matches the Rfam family "Bacterial small subunit ribosomal RNA", at positions 15 to 244 of the family's 1533-position model. The record is from RNAcentral.
GUUCCUGGCUCAGGAUGAACGCUAGCUACAGGCUUAACACAUGCAAGUCGAGGGGAAACGACAUCGAAAGCUUGCUUUUGAUGGGCGUCGACCGGCGCACGGGUGAGUAACGCGUAUCCAACCUGCCCAUCACUUGGGAAUAACCUUGCGAAAGUAAGACUAAUGCCCAAUGACAUCCCACGAAGGCAUCCGAAUGGGAUUAAAGAUUUAUCGGUGAUGGAUGGGGAUGCGUCUGAUUAG